UCUACGGGAGGCAGCAGUGGGGAAUAUUGGACAAUGGGGGGAACCCUGAUCCAGCGACGCCGCGUGAGUGAAGAAGUAUUUCGGUAUGUAAAGCUCUAUCAGCAGGGAAGAAAGAAAUGACGGUACCUGACUAAGAAGCCCCGGCUAACUACGUGCCAGCAGCCGCGGUAAUACGGAGGGUGCGAGCGUUCAUCGGAAUGACUGGGCGUAAAGCGCUCGUAGGCGUUAUGUCAAGUCAAGAGGGAACUCCCCGCGCUCAACGUGGGAACUGCCUUUGAAACUGGCAAACUGGAGUGUGUGAGAGGAGAGUGGAAUGCCAGGUGUAGGAGUGAAAGCCGUAGAUAGCUGGAGGAACAUCAGUGGCGAAGGCGACUAUCUGGCACAUAACUGACGCUGAGGAGCGAAAGCGUGGGUAGCAAACAGGAUUAGAUACCCCUGUAGUC
Molecule: ribosomal RNA, 443 nt
Filed under: uncultured bacterium
Lineage: Bacteria
Description: partial 16S ribosomal RNA
Rfam family: Bacterial small subunit ribosomal RNA
Source: RNAcentral